This 998-nucleotide ribosomal RNA is filed under the name human gut metagenome. Its description in RNAcentral is "bacterial LSU rRNA". It matches the Rfam family "Bacterial large subunit ribosomal RNA", at positions 1926 to 2925 of the family's 2925-position model. The record is from RNAcentral.
AACGGCGGCCGUAACUAUAACGGUCCUAAGGUAGCGAAAUUCCUUGUCAGGUAAGUUCUGACCCGCACGAAAGGUGUAACGAUUUGGGCGCUGUCUCGGCAGCAGACUCGGUGAAAUCUUAGUACCUGUGAAAAUGCAGGUUACCCGCAACUAGACGGAAAGACCCCAUGGAGCUUUACUGCAGCCUGAUAUUGAAUUCUGGUCAUACAUGUACAGGAUAGGUGGGAGACAAAGAGACGUGCACGCCAGUGUACGAGGAGUCGACGUUGGGAUACCACUCUUGUGUGACCGGGGUUCUAACCUGGUAUCGAGAACAGGUACGGGGAGAGUGUCAGGUGGGCAGUUUGACUGGGGCGGUCGCCUCCCAAAGAGUAACGGAGGCGCCCAAAGGUACGCUCAGAUUGGAUGGAAACCAAUCGUCGAGUGCAAUUGCAGAAGCGUGCUUGACUGUGAGACAGACAAGUCGAACAGGGACGAAAGUCGGGAAUAGUGAUCCGGCGGUGCCGAAUGGAAGGGCCGUCGCUCAACGGAUAAAAGCUACCCUGGGGAUAACAGGCUGAUCUCCCCCAAGAGUCCACAUCGACGGGGAGGUUUGGCACCUCGAUGUCGGCUCAUCGCAUCCUGGGGCUGAAGUAGGUCCCAAGGGUUGGGCUGUUCGCCCAUUAAAGCGGUACGCGAGCUGGGUUCAGAACGUCGUGAGACAGUUCGGUCCCUAUCUGUUGUGGGCGAAGGAGAUCUGCGGAGAGCUGUCCUCAGUACGAGAGGACCGGGAUGGACCUACCGCUGGUGCACCGGUUGUUCCGCCAGGGGCAUAGCCGGGUAGCUAAGUAGGGAAAGGAUAAGCGCUGAAAGCAUCUAAGCACGAAGCCUACUCCAAGAUGAGAUCUCCCAUUCGCAAGAAGUAAGACCCCUUAAAGACGAUAAGGUAGAUAGGCCAGGGAUGGAAGUGCAGUGAUGUACGGAGUUGACUGGUACUAAUCGGUCGAGGACUUAAUCAG